Long non-coding RNA from Heterocephalus glaber (naked mole-rat), 1343 nucleotides. The record is from Ensembl. NCBI's taxonomy places the organism in Eukaryota, Metazoa, Chordata, Mammalia, Rodentia, Bathyergidae.
AAAUUUGAGCAGAAGGCAUGCAUCUUACUUCAAAGACAUUUACCAAUACACAGGAUUAUGGUAUCUUUUUCCCCGACACAGUUAUUUAUUAGCAACUUUAAGAUCGUGAAUGCUGCAUCAGCCGGGACCUUUCUGUAAGUAACAACUAUGAAUAGCAGCUCCUGUCAAGUCUCACACUGUAGUAUGAGUGGAAAAUUAAUCUUUGUUAUUCCAAAGGACAAAUACUGAAGUUAGUUUUUACUACAAUGUGACCUAAAUUAUCAUAAAUGAUUCCACACAAUAUAAAUUGUUUCACAGCAUUUAAACUCUAUAAGUCAGAUAUACAAAAUAUAAAUGUGCCUUUUCCAUUUCUUAACUAGAAUACAUUUUGACCAGAAGAUUUCAUUCCCACAGUUAGUGCAGAAAAUAUUAAAAUUUAGCAGUGAUGAGUAAUUUUCAUUUUUCAGGGGUUUUUUGUUGUUGUUGUUGCUCGUUUAAAACUUUUUCUGUUGGAUGAAUAAUUAUCCAGGGAAUAAAGAUUUUAAAUCUCUACAAAAGUAAAUUAUUUUCAAAAGAUGUGUCUUUACCUUCCUGGAUAAGCUUGCAUGUAAGUGAAAAGGGAUUUCUAAGACAUGUAGCAGAAUUGAUAGGACUAUAGGUGUUUGUGUACUUCCCUGAGUGUUUUUGCUUCCUGUGGUUGCAAUGUCAUCUUGUCUUUUUCUUGGGCACGUACUAUAGCAAUGCCUAGGUAAUGGCUAAUGCUGGCUGUAUCCUUGGGGAUGAUGUUGGCACCAGCUACUUAAAUACAUUAAGAGUUGUGAGAGUGGUGAGCUCCCUGUGUGCUAACUUCUCUUCAUCCUAACCUCAUUUUUCCUUUCUUUUGGCUCUUUCAUCUCCGUGUUGAACUCUCGGUUGCUUUCUCUGACUCUCACCUGAUAUGCACAGAGCUUGGUGAAGGUUUCUUCAUGGUCACCCCUUUGGCUUUGUCUAAUCUGCUUCAAGGUGCCAUAUUGAAUGUUGACUUACCAAGUCAGCUUACUCUGAAAGUCGCUACAUCCCUGGUACUUGUCUACCAUCCCCCAAAGCCUAUAGAACAUUUCUAUCCAUUUCUGCCAUUGAUUUUUAACCAAAAGUGGGAACAAGAGAGCUCUGAUGUAUUACUCCUGCUGUGAAUUUUCUCUGCCUUGCAACUUCUCCUUCAACUUCCAGUCAGAGGUCUUUGGCUAUUCCUGCUCUCAGGAGUUUCCCUCUGUUCUUUCUUCUUCAGUCCUGGGUAUUCGUCUUCUGUUUCUCAAUGACAACUUUACCCAAAGGGCCACAGGGAACAAAGGCUCAGGGGCAUCGAUCCAGCAUGCCAAAAUCAC